GACGAACGCUGGCGGCGUGCUUAACACAUGCAAGUCGAACGGAAAGGCCCUGCUUUUGUGGGGUGCUCGAGUGGCGAACGGGUGAGUAACACGUGAGUAACCUGACCAUGACUUUGGGAUAACUUCAGGAAACUGGGGCUAAUACCGGAUAGGAGCUCCUGCUGCAUGGUGGGGGUUGGAAAGUUUCGGCGGUUGGGGAUGGACUCGCGGCUUAUCAGCUUGUUGGUGGGGUAGUGGCUUACCAAGGCUUUGACGGGUAGCCGGCCGGAGAGGGUGACCGGCCACAAUGGGACUGAGAUACGGCCCAGACGCCUACGGGAGGCAGCAGUGGGGAAUAUUGCACAAUGGGCGGAAGCCUGAUGCAGCAACGCCGCGUGCGGGAUGACGGCCUUCGGGUUGUAAACCGCUUUCGCCUGUGACGAAGCGUGAGUGACGGUAAUGGGUAAAGAAGCACCGGCUAACUACGUG
RNAcentral lists this ribosomal RNA (468 nucleotides) under uncultured bacterium. RNAcentral describes it as "partial 16S ribosomal RNA". It matches the Rfam family "Bacterial small subunit ribosomal RNA", at positions 28 to 507 of the family's 1533-position model. The record is from RNAcentral.